This is a long non-coding RNA of Macaca fascicularis (crab-eating macaque), 2374 nucleotides long. The record is from Ensembl. Lineage: Eukaryota; Metazoa; Chordata; Mammalia; Primates; Cercopithecidae.
AAUAGCUAAAUAAAUCUUUAAUAUUUCUAAUUGCAAAUGUACAGAAAUUGCACAGCCACACAGAGUCUUAGAACACCAACAGCUUCCUCUGUACAUUAUUACAUAGUUAAAAGUCGCAGCUGGAGGGAGGAGCUCCAGCCCAAACUCCAAUGUUUGCAUUUUUUCCUUUUCACAUACUUACAAAAGAGGGGAGCUGGGACGCGGUGUGGGGGCUGGGGGGCUUUGUGGCUGAGUGUGUAGAAAAGAGGGGCUGUUUCCCUGGAGAGUCUGGCUCCCGCAGUUGUGCGGGGCGCAACGGGAGGUGUACUUGGGGCAGAUGCUCUGGGGGACCGGGGCGUGUGGAGCUGUAGCCUCGGUCCUCCACCCCCACUCUCUGGGCAGUUGGAAAGAGUCCUCACUGACAGGAGGUUUGGCAGUUUCCAUCACCCAGAACAUGAAGUUAAGCAAAAAAGUCAGUCAGGCCUCUGUGCUAGCGGGGAGGGCGUGGCUUUUUCCAGCAGAGGCUGAGUCUCAGUGACCAGGGGGCCCCAGGGCUGUGUUUUUCCCCAGCAGGGACUGUCCUUCCCUCCAGGGCCUCUGGCAAUCCCAUCCCUGGCUGCAGGCAGGGCCCAGCUCCUGGGAACUCAGGUUCUCUGUGGCCUGGGCAGGAGCCCCUGUUGACUGGCCCAGUGAAAGCACCCCAGCAGCCGCUACCCAGACAGCAGCUGCAAAGCCAACACAUAAAUGCCACAGGUAGGGAAAACAACCCCUGCAGACCUCAAGCCUCUUCCUCCUGCCCAAUACUGUUCUCUAGAUUCAGAAAUAAAAUAAAACCCUUGGGAGAGCAGCAGUCCCGGCCAGCCCUCGGCAGCACCAGGACCAAAGGAUAUGUACAAACAUUAGGUGAGAUAGUUACAUUACAGUCAAACACCAAGAACAUUUACAAAAUCGGCAGACUUGCAAUUAAGAUAAAAAUCUGUGAAGAGUCUGUACACUUUUACAGUUUUUGCACUAGGUAAAUAAGGCUCUCGGCCUGAGAGCUCACCCACCCCUGCAAGGGCAGCUGGCACCGGCCACAGCGGGUGGCCUCCGAGCCCACCUGUCCAGGCCCUGGGAGCCUCCCCAUAUUGCUAAGGAGGCUCUGUCCGAGGUCACUCUACGAGGCAGCGGUGGGAGGGGGCUGGGGAGAGGAGGGCAGGGCUCACUGGGCAGUGGGAGGAUGAGAUCGGAGCCAGGCCCUGCCUGUGUGGUCACCCUGGUCUCAGGCACGAAGGCGCAUGGGUGGGGACAAGACAGGAGUGGAGCAGGAAGGGGUGGGGGCAGGGCCUCUGCUCCUGCCUCCCAUCUUCCUGUGGUCUGUGACCCCUGGUGGCCCAGCCCUCCCUCCACCAGCAUCUGUCUCUAGCCUAACUGAAUUGUAGGUUACAUCUAAGAGCCCCUUCCCAGAGCAGCUGCUGUCACCUGUCCCUGAGCUCAGGGGUGAGCACCAGGUGGCACUCCCUACAGGGCCACUGUGCCCUGGGUGUGCUGGGCCCCAGGAGAAGGCAGAUACAGUGCUCAGAGCCAUCUGGCCAGAUCCACCCAGAUCUUUGGCUUCUGGGAGCCCUAGAGCAUCAGCCUGGGCCUGUGUGGGAAGUGUGGGAAGCUGUGGGUCCUCCCCACAGGGAUAAGAGCUCACAAGAAAAAGCCAUGGCCCUCACUGGGUCUAUCUGGCAAUACAACUAAGGCAGGGAAGAAGGUGGCAGGUGGCGCUCUGGGGACAGGUUCAGAGGGGGUGGGUGGGUAGGAAUCCUCAGUUCCUCACAGCCAGGAAGGUCCCAAUAGGCCGCAUGCAGUGACAGGUGCUUCGGAUGGAGACAGGCAGGGGACACUGACCUCCUGCCCUGUGUCCUCCUAUCUUCCUGCCUGCCAACCAAUCCACCAAGUGCCAGGUCCCACAGGACAGGGCUUGGCUGCCAGGGAGUCCUGGGCCCCCCAAGGAGGUGAGGGGAAGCCACAGGUAUAGGCCCCUAGUCCUUGAAUCCCCCCUCCAAGAAGCCCCCUCCCUGGCACGGAUGUGGGGAACAUGCACUCGGCCAGAUCCAGGAGGACAAGGACACGCCACAUUCAGGAACCAACAGACAUGUUUUUGGCAGGCCCUCUGCCUCACCAGGCUGUCCCCACUCCCCAGCGUGCAGUCUCUUCUGCCCGCACCCCACAGGGAGCGGCUGGUGACCUCGCCUCACGCUGCUUCAGUCUCUGGCGGCUCCCUCUGCGGCCACCUCCUGGACAGCGGCGGGGAGGGGAGGCUCGGCCUCCUGACACCUGCGCUGGGGCUGCAACCGUGGGUGCCUCCCCAGGCCGAGACCCUGCCCUUGGCCACCACAGUCCCCCUCUCCUUGGGUAGCUUCCUCCC